GUGGCGUUACGUUUGUGCACAACAGAUAUUGGGCGGUGAGGCAUGGCAAAAGCAUUCCCAAUGAAAUGGGUCUCGUCGUUUCCUCCAUGGAAAAUGGAAAACUUGAACAAUAUAAGUUGACUCCCGAAGGAAUCAAACAAGCAAAAUUGGCUGGAGAGUCAUUCCUAAAGGUACUCAAAGAAGAUAACAUACCACUUGAAAAUGUUCGAAUUUGCUACUCUCCCUUCUCGAGAACCACUCAUACAGCACAAGUGGUUGCAUCAGUUCUAGAUAUUUCUUUUGAAGGACCACAGUGCAUGGU
Molecule: unclassified non-coding RNA, 301 nt
Filed under: Hevea brasiliensis (rubber tree)
Lineage: Eukaryota; Viridiplantae; Streptophyta; Magnoliopsida; Malpighiales; Euphorbiaceae
Source: RNAcentral